RNAcentral lists this ribosomal RNA (482 nucleotides) under uncultured bacterium. RNAcentral describes it as "partial 16S ribosomal RNA". It matches the Rfam family "Bacterial small subunit ribosomal RNA", at positions 30 to 507 of the family's 1533-position model. The record is from RNAcentral.
AUUGAACGCUGGCGGCAUGCCUUACACAUGCAAGUCGAACGGUAACGCGCCUUCGGGUGCCGCCGAGUGGCGAACGGGGGCGUAAUACAUCGGAACGUGCCCGAUCGUGGGGGAUAACGAGGCGAAAGCUUUGCUAAUACCGCAUACGAUCUACGGCUGAAAGCGGGGGACCGCAAGGCCUUGCGCGGACGGAGCGGCCGAUGGCAGAUUAGGUAGUUGGUGGGAUAAACGCGUACCAAGCCGACGAUCUGUAGCUGGUCUGAGAGGAUGAUCAGCCACACUGGGACUGAGACACGGCCCAGACUCCUACGGGAGGCAGCAGUGGGGAAUUUUGGACAAUGGGCGCAAGCCUGAUCCAGCCAUGCCGCGUGCAGGAUGAAGGCCUUCGGGUUGUAAACUGCUUUUGUACGGAACGAAAAGCCUUCUUUUAAUACAGGAGGGUCAUGACGGUACCGUAAGAAUAAGCACCGGCUAACUACGUG